This is a regulatory RNA element of Treponema denticola ATCC 35405, 121 nucleotides long. It matches the Rfam family "TD-1 RNA". From Rfam's summary of the family: non coding RNA found in Treponema denticola The record is from Rfam. Lineage: Bacteria; Pseudomonadati; Spirochaetota; Spirochaetia; Treponematales; Treponemataceae.
GUUUAUCUUCGAGUUUUGUGCUUUGCACAAAACAUCGCAUUAUUGUAUGCAGUUUGUGAACAAACUGCUUGAAAAAACUUUUUUCGCAAAUUGAUAUUUGCUGCAAAAAGUUUUUAUGGGA